RNAcentral lists this long non-coding RNA (472 nucleotides) under Homo sapiens (human). RNAcentral's name for it is "HSALNT0297175". Lineage: Eukaryota; Metazoa; Chordata; Mammalia; Primates; Hominidae. The record is from RNAcentral.
UCAUGGGGGCAGUUACCCUCAUGCUGUCAUCCUGAUAGUGAAUGAGUUCUCACAAGAUCUAAUGGUUCGACAAUGGGGCUUUCUCCUCUUUUGCUUGGCAAUUCUCCUUUCUGCUUCCAUGUGAAGAAGGACACAUUUGCUUCCCUUUUUGCCAGAGUUGUAAGUUUCCUGAGGUCUCCCCAGCUAUGCUAAACUAUAUGUGCAUGGCUGUUUUUCUUUCAGCACAGACAUCACCUCCUAAGAAAGGCAUUCCGUGCCAGACUGAGAGACAUGAGAAAUACCUCAAAGUGAUACGAAGUUGAUAGACCCCUGCCACACAAAUACAACACUGAAGAUGGAUUUUCAUCAAACGUGGAGGCCCUGCAGUUGUUAAACUUUAUUUCUACUGGAAUACCACUGUUCCAUUGAAUCAGCAUUAUCUGUGCAGUGGGCAAGAAGAACCCAUCAGGUGAUUACAUAAUUCUAUGAAUUU